CAGGCCUAACACAUGCAAGUCGAACGCCCCGCAAGGGGAGUGGCAGACGGGUGAGUAACACGUGGGAACGUACCCUUUGGUUCGGAACAACCCUGGGAAACUAGGGCUAAUACCGGAUACGCGCGAGAGCGGAAAGGUUUACCGCCGAAGGAUCGGCCCGCGUCUGAUUAGCUAGUUGGUGAGGUAACGGCUCACCAAGGCGACGAUCAGUAGCUGGUCUGAGAGGAUGAUCAGCCACAUUGGGACUGAGACACGGCCCAAACUCCUACGGGAGGCAGCAGUGGGGAAUAUUGGACAAUGGGCGCAAGCCUGAUCCAGCCAUGCCGCGUGAGUGAUGACGGCCCUAGGGUUGUAAAGCUCUUUUACCCGGGAUGAUAAUGACAGUAUCGGGAGAAUAAGCCCCGGCUAACUCGGUGCCAGCAGCCGCGGUAA
This 432-nucleotide ribosomal RNA is filed under the name uncultured bacterium. Its description in RNAcentral is "bacterial SSU rRNA". It matches the Rfam family "Bacterial small subunit ribosomal RNA", at positions 43 to 523 of the family's 1533-position model. The record is from RNAcentral.